AAGCAUUGUAGGUCUGUUAGCCCCUUCUACCUUCAAGCACUGCUCAGAUAUUUCACCGAACUUUCUCAAUGAGUGAGGAUUAAUCUGCCCAGCCAAUGAAGGAUCAAUAAUCUUUUCUAUUUCCCCUUUCUUUAGCCAAAACAUCCCCCAUUCAGCUAAGUUUAUUUCCUCUCUCCUGGUAGAGUUCACAAUAGGAGGUCGAGCACAAAGUAUUUCAAGAAGUACCACACCAAAGGAGUAGACAUCCGAUUUAUCAGUUAACUGAAGAGUUCUCACAUAUUCAGGAUCAAGAUAACCGAAGCUUCCUAUCAGACCCAUUCUGCAAUGGUCUGUAUUAGGAGGGCCCGAACGUGAAAGACCAAAAUCAGCAACUUUUGCCAC
RNAcentral lists this unclassified non-coding RNA (381 nucleotides) under Hevea brasiliensis (rubber tree). The record is from RNAcentral. Lineage: Eukaryota; Viridiplantae; Streptophyta; Magnoliopsida; Malpighiales; Euphorbiaceae.